RNAcentral lists this ribosomal RNA (253 nucleotides) under uncultured bacterium. RNAcentral describes it as "partial 16S ribosomal RNA". It matches the Rfam family "Bacterial small subunit ribosomal RNA", at positions 524 to 776 of the family's 1533-position model. The record is from RNAcentral.
UACGUAGGGAGCAAGCGUUGUCCGGAAUCAUUGGGCGUAAAGCGCGCGUAGGUGGCUUCGUAAGUCCGUUGUGAAAGUCAAAGGCUCAACCUUUGAAAGCCGAUGGAUACUGUGAAGCUAGAGUACGGAAGAGGCGAGUGGAAUUCCUGGUGUAGCGGUGGAAUGCGCAGAUAUCAGGAGGAACACCAAUAGCGAAGGCAGCUCGCUGGGACGUUACUGACACUGAGGCGCGAAAGCUAGGGGAGCAAACAGG